GAGAGAAGGAGAGAUGGAAAGAUAGAGAGGAGUGAGGGAGAUAAAGGUGCAGUUAAUUAAUUAUGGUAAUUUCAUUAUUACAUUUCGGUUACCAUAGUAACUAUAGAGGUUAAAUCAAAUCUUAAUACAAGGCUUAAAGUGGAACUGGCAGCGUUUUAAUUACUUUGCAGAUAUGAAACGAAACAGACAAUCAUAAAAUCAGUAAAAAAUAUAAAAUUCCCAGUUUAUUCUUCAAAACCAACUUUAUAAGAGGUUUUAAAAAUAGGUUCUAUUUGACCCCCCAAAAAUUAUUGAAGUAUGGUAAGGCAUUGUUGGCAGAAUAGAUUGAUGCAGUUCAAUGCAUGAAUAAUAUAAUUCACCAAUCCAUUUCUUGGUAGUCCAAAAAAUAUUGCAGUCAGGUUGUAAAUCACAGAUGGCCUUUUACAUUGUUUGCUGCUUCCACCCAUUCAGAUGCACUGUUUCAGUUUCAAUGACUUCAUAUUUUGGACUAAAACGGACAAAUGUAACUAAGGCUGGGAACAUCAAUACAAUCAAAAGAUCAAGGGCAACGAUCACAAGUUAAUCAUAACGUGGCUAAUAAGCUAGUGCACGUGUCAAACACAAGCGCUUACAUCGGUGAAUUCAACUUCAAUUGCGCUGCUUUCGUGUGUCCAGUUUACAGUGUGCAGUUGAGGGAAAGUGAACAGACACAUGUCACAUUCCUAGCUAGACUAUUAAAAUAUUGCAGUCUGGCUUUGGUUUUUAAAGCUCGACAAUGAAUAACCAAAUAACAAAACCUGCAAAAAAAACACCAUCCAAAGGACAAACAUGUAGGUCUAUUCUAGAAACAUUUGAGCAGUAGUCUAGGCUGGCUACUCAACGACGACACACGUUGAGAGCACCACACAGCAAUGGAGCAUUCAACCGCAACGGUGAUCCAUGCCGUGCAGAAAAAAUGAAAACAUGUUUUAAGUUUGAACGUUACAACAACCUAUUGCUUCGUUUUUGUUAUUUGGAGUUAAAUACUUUUUUUUAUUAGGGUCGCACCAUAUUAUGCACAUCUGCAAGCAUAGCAGCAAAGGCUGAACAAACAUGAUUUGUUUUAAUAUGUUAAAAUGCUAUAUACAGCAUCAUAUGUACAUAGGUGUACUGAGUGAGUUUGACACCCCUGGGAUAGUGUAUCUAUUUAUGUAGCUAUUUAUUUAGCAACCUAAAAACAUGGAGCCUAACAUUAGCUAGGUAGCUAGCUGCUGGGAGAAUGUCAUGUCAUUGGAGAGUGGGUGAGUGACCGACUUUUUCCCCUCAUAUUGUUUUUUGGUAGCUACAGCUAGAGAUGCAGGUUAGCUAGCAUGAAAUGUGAAUCGUUUUGAUAGCUUGCUAUGCUGAACUUGAACAACUAUUAUCCACAGUUAGCAUAUCUCUUAUUUGUCAAUCAAAUGUAUUUGGCAUGGAUCAAAUGGAUGGGCGGGCAGGCAAGUUCCCAUUCAGUUGUCUGCAAACUGCAGAAGGACGAGCAGGCUACUAUUCCCCAUCGUUUAUCAGUGCAAUUUUGACAGACAACUAGUUGAAGCAGUUUGAGGGGGUUUAUCUAAUGUUCCCUCGUUAGAUCAUCUUACUCUGGCUAGUAUUAGUUGUUGAUCUUGGUGUUGUUGAUGUGCAUAGGUAACAGAGGGGGAGAGAGCCUACCUUUUCAUGGUUGUUUGAUCGAAUAGGACUGAAGAUCCCAAAUGUAGUAGGACUCCUGUGUUAUUUACAUAAUUGCAGAAAUCCAUUCAGGUGUAUUUUCUGGCUUUUGGUGAAUGUGUUCUAAUGAUCUAAAGUCACGCUGUUGCUACUGCCUGUAAACACACAGUCCAGUUCAAAGUGAAUGAUGGCAGGUCCUACUGCCUGUAAACACACAGUCCAGUUCAAAGUGAAUGAUGGCAGGUCCUACUGCCUGUAAACACACAGUCCAGUUCAAAGUGAAUGAUGGCAGGUCCUACUGCCUGUAAACACACAGUCCAGUUCAUAGUGAAUGAUGGCAGGUCCUACUGCCUGUAAACACACAGUCCAGUUCAUAGUGAAUGAUGACAGGCCCUACUGCCUGUAAACACACAGUCCAGUUCAAAGUGAAUGAUGGCAGGUCCUACUGCCUGUAAACACACAGUCCAGUUCAUAGUGCCUGUAAACACACAGUCCAGUUCAUAGUGAAUGAUGACAGGCCCUACUGCCUGUAAACACACAGUCCAGUUCAUAGUGAAUGAUGGCAGUUCCUACUGCCUGUAAACACACAGUCCAGUUCAAAGUGAAUGAUGGCAGGUCCUACUGCCUGUAAACACACAGUCCAGUUCAAAGUGAAUGAUGGCAGGUCCUACUGCCUGUAAACACACAGUCCAGUUCAAAGUGAAUGAUGGCAGGUCCUACUGCCUGUAAACACACAGUCCAGUUCAAAGUGAAUGAUGGCAGGUCCUACUGCCUGUAAACACACAGUCCAGUUCAAAGUGAAUGAUGGCAGGUCCUACUGCCUGUAAACACACAGUCCAGUUCAAAGUGAAUGAUGGCAGGUCCUACUGCCUGUAAACACACAGUCCAGUUCAAAGUGAAUGAUGGCAGGUCCUACUGCCUGUAAACACACAGUCCAGUUCAAAGUGAAUGACGGCAGGUCCUACUGCCUGUAAACACACAGUCCAGUUCAAAGUGAAUGAUGGUAGGCCCUACUGCCUGUAAACACAGUCCAGUUCAAAGUGAAUGAUGGCAGGUACUACUGCCUGUAAACACACAGUCCAGUUCAAAGUGAAUGAUGGCAGGUCCUACUGCCUGUAAACACACAGUCCAGUUCAAAGUGAAUGAUGGCAGGUCCUACUGCCUGUAAACACACAGUCCAGUUCAAAGUGAAUGAUGGCAGGUCCUACUGCCUGUAAACACACAGUCCAGUUCAUAGUGAAUGAUGGCAGGUCCUACUGCCUGUAAACACACAGUCCAGUUCAUAGUGCCUGUAAACACACAGUCCAGUUCAUAGUGAAUGAUGACAGGCCCUACUGCCUGUAAACACACAGUCCAGUUCAUAGUGAAUGAUGGCAGGUCCUACUGCCUGUAAACACACAGUCCAGUUCAAAGUGAAUGAUGGCAGGUCCUACUGCCUGUAAACACACAGUCCAGUUCAAAGUGAAUGAUGGCAGGUCCUACUGCCUGUAAACACACAGUCCAGUUCAAAGUGAAUGAUGGCAGGUCCUACUGCCUGUAAACACACAGUCCAGUUCAAAGUGAAUGAUGGCAGGUCCUACUGCCUGUAAACACACAGUCCAGUUCAAAGUGAAUGAUGGCAGGUCCUACUGCCUGUAAACACACAGUCCAGUUCAAAGUGAAUGAUGGCAGGUCCUACUGCCUGUAAACACACAGUCCAGUUCAUAGUGAAUGAUGGCAGGCCCUACUGCCUGUAAACACACAGUCCAGUUCAUAGUGAAUGAUGGCAGGUCCUACUGCCUGUAAACACACAGUCCAGUUCAAAGUGAAUGAUGGCAGGUCCUACUGCCUGUAAACACACAGUCCAGUUCAAAGUGAAUGAUGGCAGGUCCUACUGCCUGUAAACACACAGUCCAGUUCAAAGUGAAUGAUGGCAGGUCCUACUGCCUGUAAACACACAGUCCAGUUCAAAGUGAAUGAUGGCAGGUCCUACUGCCUGUAAACACACAGUCCAGUUCAAAGUGAAUGAUGGCAGGUCCUACUGCCUGUAAACACACAGUCCAGUUCAAAGUGAAUGAUGGCAGGUCCUACUGCCUGUAAACACACAGUCCAGUUCAAAGUGAAUGAUGGCAGGUCCUACUGCCUGUAAACACACAGUCCAGUUCAAAGUGAAUGAUGGCAGGUCCUACUGCCUGUAAACACACAGUCCAGUUCAUAGUGAAUGAUGGCAGGUCCUACUGCCUGUAAACACACAGUCCAGUUCAUAGUGAAUGAUGACAGGCCCUACUGCCUGUAAACACACAGUCCAGUUCAAAGUGAAUGAUGGCAGGUCCUACUGCCUGUAAACACACAGUCCAGUUCAUAGUGCCUGUAAACACACAGUCCAGUUCAUAGUGAAUGAUGACAGGCCCUACUGCCUGUAAAACACACAGUCCAGUUCAUAGUGAAUGAUGGCAGGUCCUACUGCCUGUAAACACACAGUCCAGUUCAAAGUGAAUGAUGGCAGGUCCUACUGCCUGUAAACACACAGUCCAGUUCAAAGUGAAUGAUGGCAGGUCCUACUGCCUGUAAACACACAGUCCAGUUCAAAGUGAAUGAUGGCAGGUCCUACUGCCUGUAAACACACAGUCCAGUUCAAAGUGAAUGAUGGCAGGUCCUACUGCCUGUAAACACACAGUCCAGUUCAAAGUGAAUGAUGGCAGGUCCUACUGCCUGUAAACACACAGUCCAGUUCAAAGUGAAUGAUGGCAGGUCCUACUGCCUGUAAACACACAGUCCAGUUCAAAGUGAAUGAUGGCAGGUCCUACUGCCUGUAAACACACAGUCCAGUUCAAAGUGAAUGAUGGCAGGUCCUACUGCCUGUAAACACACAGUCCAGUUCAAAGUGAAUGAUGGCAGGUCCUACUGCCUGGAAACACACAGUCCAGUUCAAAGUGAAUGAUGGCAGGUCCUACUGCCUGUAAACAAACAGUCCAGU
Molecule: long non-coding RNA, 4618 nt
Organism: Oncorhynchus keta (chum salmon)
Lineage: Eukaryota; Metazoa; Chordata; Actinopteri; Salmoniformes; Salmonidae
Exons: 4
Source: RefSeq, a predicted model, not a curated record